This 253-nucleotide ribosomal RNA is filed under the name uncultured bacterium. RNAcentral describes it as "partial 16S ribosomal RNA". It matches the Rfam family "Bacterial small subunit ribosomal RNA", at positions 524 to 776 of the family's 1533-position model. The record is from RNAcentral.
UACGUAGGGACCGAGCGUUGUCCGGAAUUAUUGGGCGUAAAGAGCUCGUAGGCGGUUUGUUGCGUCGGCCGUGAAAACCUGCAGCUUAACUGUGGGCCUGCGGCCGAUACGGGCAGACUUGAGUUCGGUAGGGGAGACUGGAAUUCCUGGUGUAGCGGUGAAAUGCGCAGAUAUCAGGAGGAACACCGGUGGCGAAGGCGGGUCUCUGGGCCGAUACUGACGCUGAGGAGCGAAAGCGUGGGGAGCAAACAGG